RNAcentral lists this ribosomal RNA (253 nucleotides) under uncultured bacterium. Its description in RNAcentral is "partial 16S ribosomal RNA". It matches the Rfam family "Bacterial small subunit ribosomal RNA", at positions 524 to 776 of the family's 1533-position model. The record is from RNAcentral.
UACGUAGGGUGCGAGCGUUGUCCGGAAUUAUUGGGCGUAAAGAGCUCGUAGGCGGCUUGUCGCGUCGUCCGUGAAAACCAGGGGCUCAACCCCUGGCUUGCGGUCGAUACGGGCAGGCUAGAGUUCGGUAGGGGAGACUGGAAUUCCUGGUGUAGCGGUGAAAUGCGCAGAUAUCAGGAGGAACACCGGUGGCGAAGGCGGGUCUCUGGGCCGAUACUGACGCUGAGGAGCGAAAGCGUGGGGAGCGAACAGG